CCUACGGGGGGCAGCAGUGGGGAAUAUUGCACAAUGGGCGCAAGCCUGAUGCAGCCAUGCCGCGUGUGUGAAGAAGGCCUUCGGGUUGUAAAGCACUUUCAGCGGGGAGGAAGGCGGUGAGGUUAAUAACCUCAUCGAUUGACGUUACCCGCAGAAGAAGCACCGGCUAACUCCGUGCCAGCAGCCGCGGUAAUACGGAGGGUGCAAGCGUUAAUCGGAAUUACUGGGCGUAAAGCGCACGCAGGCGGUCUGUCAAGUCGGAUGUGAAAUCCCCGGGCUCAACCUGGGAACUGCAUUCGAAACUGGCAGGCUAGAGUCUUGUGGAGGGGGGUAGAAUUCCAGGUGUAGCGGUGAAAUGCGUAGAGAUCUGGAGGAAUACCGGUGGCGAAGGCGGCCCCCUGGACAAAGACUGACGCUCAGGUGCGAAAGCGUGGGGAGCAAACAGGAUUAGAUACCCGAGUAGUC
RNAcentral lists this ribosomal RNA (465 nucleotides) under uncultured Klebsiella sp. Its description in RNAcentral is "bacterial SSU rRNA". It matches the Rfam family "Bacterial small subunit ribosomal RNA", at positions 338 to 795 of the family's 1533-position model. The record is from RNAcentral. Lineage: Bacteria; Pseudomonadati; Pseudomonadota; Gammaproteobacteria; Enterobacterales; Enterobacteriaceae.